RNAcentral lists this ribosomal RNA (497 nucleotides) under uncultured bacterium. RNAcentral describes it as "partial 16S ribosomal RNA". It matches the Rfam family "Bacterial small subunit ribosomal RNA", at positions 28 to 507 of the family's 1533-position model. The record is from RNAcentral.
GACGAACGCUGGCGGCGUGCCUAAUACAUGCAAGUAGAACGCUGAAGAGAGGAGCUUACUCUUCUUGGAUGAGUUGCGAACGGGUGAGUAACGCGUAGGUAACCUGCCUUGUAGCGGGGGAUAACUAUUGGAAACGAUAGCUAAUACCGCAUAACAAUGGAUGACACAUGUCAUUUAUUUGAAAGGGGCAAUUGCUCCACUACAAGAUGGACCUGCGUUGUAUUAGCUAGUAGGUGAGGUAAUGGCUCACCUAGGCGACGAUACAUAGCCGACCUGAGAGGGUGAUCGGCCACACUGGGACUGAGACACGGCCCAGACUCCUACGGGAGGCAGCAGUAGGGAAUCUUCGGCAAUGGGGGCAACCCUGACCGAGCAACGCCGCGUGAGUGAAGAAGGGUGUCGGAUCGUAAAGCUCGGUUGUAAGUCAAGAACGGGUGUGAGAGUGGAAAGUUCACACUGUGACGGUAGCUUACCAGAAAGGGACGGCUAACUACGUG